RNAcentral lists this long non-coding RNA (9448 nucleotides) under Chlamydomonas reinhardtii. RNAcentral describes it as "long non-coding RNA (CREI_LNC000603)". The record is from RNAcentral. Lineage: Eukaryota; Viridiplantae; Chlorophyta; Chlorophyceae; Chlamydomonadales; Chlamydomonadaceae.
CGCCGUCGUCUAGGGACCGCUUAUACGGUGGUGAUGUUGAAGCCGUACUCGCUGCCGAUCGCCUUCAUGGGCUGCGGCGCCUUGCACGCCUGGUUGAAGGUCAUGGGCAGCGUGCUGUUGUCGUUGCACACCUUGGCGGUGGGGUAGGUCUGCGCCUGGCCCAGCGUGGUGAUGGAGGUCGAGGCCAUGAGCGUGAUGGCGGCAGAGAGGUAGCUGUUGGUCGUCUGGGGGUUCAGCGAGCCGUAGCUCUUGUACGUGAGGAACUUGGUGCCGUUGGAGAUGUAGGCGUUGAUGGACUUGUUCAUCGCCUGCCACUUGGUCUGGUUCAGGUUGGGCAGGGUGGUGUUCUGGUAGGCAAAGGUCUUGUAGGCGUUCAGGGUGGACAGCACGUCCUUGGCAAUGGACUGGCCCUGCUGGAUGGUGUAGCGCUCGUAUAGGUAGAGCUGCUUGUUGCAGCUGAUCGAGGGCGCGAACACGCCCAUGGCAAAGAUGGCGGCGGUGGUCAGGGCCACAACGACGACUGCGGGCGGCGCAAGGAAGCAGGGGCGAAGGGGCGAGUCAGCGCAAUGAUAAUUGGAAGACGUAGAUUGCGGCAUGCACACACGACGGAGCUCAUGCGCGAGUGCCUGGCCCGAUCUCAAGAGCAACUCCCGCCACGAGCCUCUUCGUGCCACCCUUCGUUUCAGAUCCCUGCCAUUCUCCAAAGCCCGACAAAAGACCCGCGCGACCGCAUCCCCACGCCACCGGCCCUCCGACUCUUAUCCCGGCAGCUGCCCGGCACGCGCGCAGCCCCGAUACCCCCGACAGCGGCUCACCGGUGGCAAUCCACGAGGCGAAGGUGCGCAGCAGGAACAUCCAGUUCACGCCGGUCUUGCCCUCGAUCAUGCCCAGGCCCACAAUGCCACCAGUGAUGCACUGAGAGGACGAGGUGGGAAGGCCGUACUGCGCAGCAACCAUGAUCACCAGCGCCGUCGAAAGCUCGGCGGAAAAGCCACGAGUGGGCGACAGCUUGGCCAUGCGGGUGCCGACGGCGCGGGUGACGUUGUAGCCGUAGGUGGCCAGUCCGAUCACCAGGCCCAGGGCGGAGAUGAUGAUAAUCCAGAUGGGCGCCUGCACCUUGCUGUAGAGCGUGCCGUCCUUGACGGUGAACCAGAUGGUGGCCAGGGGGCCGGCCAUGUAGCCCACCUCGCCGGCGCCGUGAGCGAAGAUGACGCAGAUGGCGGAGAAGACCUGCAGGUAGCUGAACGCGUACUCGGCCUUGGGGUCAAACACCUCGGCGUUCUUGUGGAUGGCGGCCACAAUGGGGUCUGCGAGGAGCAAAGGGAAGGGGGGCGCAUGUGAAAGAACGACGGCUUGCAAUAUCAGUGUCUUUGAUGCUGCCUGCCCGCCUGCAACUAUUAACCUUGCCGGCCAUCCCAAAGGGAUUCCGAGCGCAGCGGUUUGCUCCGCACCACCUCGCCGCGCCCCGCCCCGUGCCCUACUACGCAACCCCGCGGCGAACUCACCCUCCUCAACCACCUCGUGAAUAUCCACCUCCAUGCCGUGCAUGGCGGCGCGCUUCAGAGACGUCAUGGCCUUCAGGAACUUGGAGUUGUUCUCGGAAGCGGCCUCUUCCUCGGCCUUGGUCUUGGCCUUAGCAGCCUCCUCGUCGGCGCCGCCGGCAGCCUUCUCCUCAUCCAGGCGGAACUUCUUGUCGGCCUUCCACUUGAGCAGGGGCAGGACAAUGACGAUGGUCAGGAAGGCCAGGCCGGCGGCGCAGCAGGCAGCGACCCAGGCGGCCUUGUGGUCAGUCCAGUCGCUGUUGGAAGCCAGGGUCUUCUUGGCACCCUUGGUGAACACGAAGUAAAUGCUGCGCGCGAAGGGGAACAGACAGCCAAGCGGUUUCGCGUGAGGAAUGCACGUUGGCCUCUAGGUGACAAGGAUAGUCGGAACGCCACAAUGACGUGAACGUCGCAGCCACUGCCACCGCAGGCACGCCACGCCCACGAGUACAUACGUCAGCCCGGGCAUGCAGGGCUGCAUUCCGCGUUCCUACAUGCAUGGAUUUGAGCCUCUACGCCUCGCAAGCCCCCGGUUACUCACUUGAUCCACGAGGUGAGCAGGACCAUCACAGGCAGAACCCAGAAGGACAGGACGUAGGAGUUCUCGCGGCGAAGCACCAGGGUGCGGACAAUCAGGAAGAUGGUGCACGAGGCCAGGCCGGUCAGCACGGGCGACACGAACCAGGCCAGCACGAUGGGCACAACGCCCUUGUAGGGAGGGAAUGAGGCGGGGUCCGGGGUGGCCCAGUUCACAGCGUUGGCGCCGCCGAACACAAACGAGAACCCGAUAAUGGCACUGCAAGGGCGGAGGAAAGGAGGCGGAGGGGUUAGUCACGCGUAAUGUGCUUGGGAGCCAGACAUACUGUGAUACUGCCCGCCUGCCCCAUGAAGCGUAGGGGAGGGGCACAUGAGGGCUACGCUUGGACUUGCUACAGGUGGUGCUACUCGUCUCGUGUAAACGAAGGAGCAUGUGUGCAGGGCACUUGAGCUGCUGCACUGCACACAGCUUGAGCUGCGGACAUGACGAAGGUAGGCAAGGACGGAGUGCGCGAAGGCUCACCCAAUGAUCGAGUGGGUCGCGGACACGUUGAGCUCCCAGUAGGAGGCCAGUGCUUGCCACACGAAGCCCACGGUCAGGGCAAUGACCAUGCCGUACGAGUAAACCUGUGUUCAUGCAGUGGGGAGCAGGAAGGGCGGUGGGUAAGGUUGAACGGCGGGAAGGACACAUUGGACCGUAAGUGAAACGGGUCCCAGCCCUCAGCUUCUCAGGGUCUGGCACGCCCAACCCAGAAUGUGUCAGUCGGGUGGGACCUCUAACUCUACGUGCAGGGCGCACCUCGGGCUCUGCAAGGAACACGUUGAUGUUGGCAAUACCACCGGCGAUGGUCGAGGUUGACACACGCCCAAGCACAAGCGCGCCGACGAACUCGAAGAUAAUGGCGAUGACGACUGCUUGCUUCAGUGUGAGGGUCUUGGCACCCACACUGGUACCGAACGCGUUGGCCACAUCGUUAGAGCCUGCGAGGAUGACGGAAGCGAAAACCCAAGGUGACAAGACGCAGCGACGCAGAAACGUGUCGAUGUAACUUUCCUCCCGGCCACGGUUCGCGCAAAGCAUUGGAAGCUCCAUAACGACACAUACGACGAAUCACUUGAGAAAAACGAAACAGGACAUCCGAUUCACAGCAUUGAGGAAGCGGUAUCCUGAGGCCGUGGGUGCUUCGCGCUUACCGGUGCCCCAGCCGAAAGCGAAGGCGGCCAUGGAGCCGACCACCACCAGCCAGAGGUACUGCGAGCCGCAAGGAGCGAUUGAUGGUCAGACAACGGGCCGAAGAAGAACAUGGAUGUCGGGCGCUCGCGCCGAGCUCGACAGAGGAAGCCCAAAGCUUGCGCUCACCUCUGGCAUCGCGUAGUCUGCCAUGUCUGCUGACUUGCCACUCCCGAGAGCGUCUCAGGGCCGGUAAGAGUGGAAGAUUGCGAAAAUGGACGCGCUUUCUGUCUUGUUAGGUUGAGCGAGAACCUCGUCGAGGCCUACACAGAUUAAGUAGGUUGAAUGUAUGACAGUCCACAGCUGCCGCCGCUAUAAAUCGAUAAUCGGAGUUGGCGUGACAGAUGCAUAUUCGCAUCUUGCGUCCACACUUAAUCAUCCUCUUCCGUGGAAUCCCGGCCACCCUUUUUGCACCCUGGCAGCAAAAUGGCCCGAAAGCUUUGGCAGAAGGUUAGUAAUAGUUGAGAGCGCGUUUCAGAGCUAUUCAGGGCACAUCCGUUCUGUCCCCUGAGAACCAGUUAGGACUGCCGGCAUGCGCAGUUCACUGCCCGGGUUCUUUCGCCCCAAAAAGUAUAAUUUCAAAUAUAGGUUUGCAAUGUACUUACAUGUAGGCGAAGUCAUCAAGUCGCGGCGCCCUUGUCCACCCCGGCGAAAGUUGCUACCAUGUUGCCAUCGGUGUGUAGUUAUGACGAUAAUACGGUACAUUAAUGUAAUGCCAUUUCGGGCUUCCGGGACAGUCGGCUAGGCAGGGCUCGCCGACCGUGCCAACCGUGGCCCCUCCCCCCCCGCAGUGCGCGCCCGACACCCCCCUGCGCGGUACUGCCUCAGGCCCGCUGCCCCACGUUCUCAUCAGCGCAUUAUAGUGUAAGCCCUGCAGUCGCCUACCCGGGGACCCAUAGCCUACCUCUACGCAAUGCCAGGAGUCUCACACAUUGGUAUGAAUUCCCCUGACUCGUGGAGACCCAUAUGACCGCACACUCGAAUCCUGGGUUACACGGAGAAAGCUAUCAACACCCUAGGACAAGGCCCUGCACAAAUCCCCGCCCACUUCCUCGCAGGUGUUGCUCAGUCUCACAACACGUUUCCGUGCCUUCAUCAACCAGUUUCCAUUCUAGCCAGGGCGCAUCCCUGAUCGUAGCACUGUUCAGCCGUCUCGUGCGGCGUGGACGCCCGUACAUUUCGGCAACGCUGCAUGCCAUUUACCCUCGGGGCAUGCCUACUGAUCGUCACAGUAGUGACACAGUUCGCAAAAGUGUUACGCAGUGCAGCGCCCAACCAGCCGUGCAUUUGCACGCACACCGUCGCUGCGAAUUCGCGACGGGAGUCCCGAAGCAGCUGCACUUCGCAUCCGUGCCUAUUGCCCUGCCCGUCACAACAACAAGUCAAACAAGUCAACCCGCUCAUCCUCAGUUCCUCACUGCGCCAAACAAGAUGAUGAGCGCCAUACAUCCAGCUGUUGAGUCACGCCUUCUGCACUAAUACGCUUGCGCGUCGCACAUGAAUGUGGCAGCGACGGCGGCCAAUCAAACAAAACAGAGACCAUAGAGUGCAUAGUUGUUUGCACUUCACGUAUACAAGAACACGUCCGGCAGUAAAGCCCAGUUAUGGCGACGCCAGCCGUGGCUACGUGAACCCAGGUGUUACCACAUCCCAUUGAACAUGCUCAGCUGCUAAUGACCAGCUUGUGCUUGGAAGUCAGCAACGCUUUCCCUACCUAGCUAGCACAACCCGUCGUCUAGGGACCGCUUAUACGGUGGUGAUGUUGAAGCCGUAGGUGCUGCCGAUCGCCUUCAUGGGCUGCGGCGCCUUGCACGCCUGGUUGAAGGUCAUGGGCAGCGUGCUGUUGUCGUUGCACACCUUGGCGGUGGGGUAGGUCUGCGCCUGGCCCAGCGUGGUGAUGGAGGUCGAGGCCAUGAGCGUGAUGGCGGCAGAGAGGUAGCUGUUGGUCGUCUGGGGGUUCAGCGAGCCGUAGCUCUUGUACGUGAGGAACUUGGUGCCGUUGGAGAUGUAGGCGUUGAUGGACUUGUUCAUCGCCUGCCACUUGGUCUGGUUCAGGUUGGGCAGGGUGGUGUUCUGGUAGGCAAAGGUCUUGUAGGCGUUCAGGGUGGACAGCACGUCCUUGGCAAUGGACUGGCCCUGCUCGAUGGUAUAGCGCUCGUACAGGUAGAGCUGCUUGUUGCAGCUGAUCGAGGGCGCGAACACGCCCAUGGCAAAGAUGGCGGCGGUAGUCAGGGCCACAACGACGACUGCGGGAGGCGCAAGCACAGAGGCGUGGGUGUCAGCAUACUAGCACGCGAAUUGAGGUGGCACGAACCCUGUGUUUUUCCGCGUCUGCCCAUAGCGCGCGCCUGUCCCUGUCAUUAUCCGCCGCCCAGCUCCCGAACCCACCAGCCGCAACCAACAUGGCCCUUUCGUGCCACCCCCCUAACACAUCCCCAGGCGUUUGCGCUUACUACGCCUGCGAGCAGCUCACCGGUAGCAACCCACGAGGCGAAGGUGCGCAGCAGGAACAUCCAGUUCACGCCGGUCUUGCCCUCGAUCAUGCCCAGGCCCACAAUGCCACCCGUGAUGCACUGAGAAGACGAGGUGGGAAGGCCGUACUGUGCGGCAACCAUAAUGACGAUGGCGGUUGACAGCUCAGCAGCGAAGCCACGAGUGGGCGACAGCUUGGCCAUGCGGGUGCCGACGGCGCGGGUGACGUUGUAGCCGUAGGUGGCCAGGCCGAUCACCAGGCCCAGGGCGGAGAUGAUGAUAAUCCAGAUGGGUGCCUGCACCUUGCUGUAGAGCGUGCCGUCCUUGACGGUGAACCAGAUGGUGGCCAGGGGGCCGGCCAUGUAGCCCACCUCGCCGGCGCCGUGAGCGAAAAUGACGCAGAUGGCGGAGAAGACCUGCAGGUAGCUGAACGCGUACUCGGCCUUGGGGUCAAACACCUCGGCGUUCUUGUGGAUGGCGGCCACAAUGGGGUCUGCGAGGUAGGAGCAAAGGGAGAGAGGGCACAUAUUUUGUAAGUAGACGGCUUGCAAGUCCACUUUCGUGUAUAUAUGCUGCCUGCCCGCCUGCAACUAACUUCGCCGGCCAUUCUGAAGGGCCUCGGUGCGUAGGGGUUUGCUCUUUUGCCACCUUGCCCAUUCCUGCCCUGUGCUCCACCUUGCCCAUUCCUGCCCUGUGCUCUAUAAGCGCACCGCAAUGCCCCGGAAUACAUGCGCUGCCAACACAUGCAACCCCGCAGCGAACUCACCCUCCUCAACCACCUCAUGCACGUCCACCUCCAGGCCGUGCAUGGCGGCGCGCUUCAGCGACGUCAUCGCCUUCAGGAACUUGGAGUUGGUCUCGGAAGCGGCCUCGUCCUCAGCCUUAGCCUUAGCCUUAGCAGCCUCCUCGUCGGCGCCGCCGGCAGCCUUCUCCUCAUCCAUACGGAACUUCUUGUCGGCCUUCCACUUGAGCAGGGGCAGGACCAGGACGAUGGUCAGGAAGGCCAGGCCGGCAGCGCAGCAGGCAGCAAUCCAGGCAGCCUUGGCGUCGGUCCAGUCGUCGCUAGAAGACAGAGUCUUCUUGGCACCCUUGGUGAACACGAAGUAAAUGCUGCGCGAAGGGGAACAGACAGGACGGGGUGGCGGGAGCUCCGUUUAAAAACCCAUUCGCGAGGGCACACACGGACCCUUCAAAGACUCUCAAGGCCCCCGGGUUGGCUCAGCUGUGCCUUAAGCAGCAACGUAGACAAUAAAAAACACCAGAAUGCCGGCAAACCACACAGCAUGCUGAGAAGUAGGGUACGCGCUGUGGUCGGAAUGCCACUCACUUGAUCCAUGUGGUGAUCAUGACCAUCACAGGCAGAACCCAGAAGGACAGGACGUAGGAGUUCUCGCGGCGAAGCACCAGGGUGCGGACAAUCAGGAAGAGAAUGCACGAGCACAGGCCGGUCAGCACGGGCGACACGAACCAGGCCAGCACGAUGGGCACAACGCCCUUGUAGGGAGGGAAUGAGGCCGAGUCCGGGGUGGCCCAGUUAACAGCGUUGGCGCCGCCGAACACGAACGAGAAGCCGAUGAUGGCACUGCAAGGGAAGGAGGCGGAGGGGCGGACAUGUUGGUUGAAGAGCACGUAAUGCCUGUCGCACCAGACAGCUAGGUCCAACACAUCAGCCCACAAUGUUCCCCGGGAGGUCGAGGGGCGCGAUGACGGUCGAGGGGCGCAAUGAAGGUAGGCAAGGACGCGAAGGCUCACCCAAUGAUCGAGUGGGUCGCGGACACGUUGAGCUCCCAGUAGGAGGCCAGUGCUUGCCACACGAAGCCCACGGUCAAGGCAAUGAUCAUGCCGUACGAGUAAACCUGUGUUCAUGCAGUGGGGAGCAGGAAGGGCGGUGGGUAAGGUUGAACGGCGGGAAGGACACAUUGGAAGGUACCGUAAGUGAAACGGGUCCCAGCCCGCAGCUCUCAGGGUUCGACACGCCGGAACACACGCCUGUAUUAGUCAAGCGUGACUAUGCUACCCUACGUGAGGUGCGCACCUCGGGCUCUGCAAGGAACACGUUGAUGUUGGCAAUACCACCGGCGAUGGUCGAGGUUGACACACGUCCGAGCACAAGCGCGCCGACGAACUCGAAGAUGAUGGCGAUGAUAACUGCUUGCUUCAGUGUGAGGGUCUUGGCACCAACACUGGUACCGAACGCGUUGGCCACAUCGUUGGAGCCUGCGAGGAUGACGGAAGCAAAAACCCAAGGUGAUAAGACGAAGAAACAAUGCAUGGCCGAAGUGCAUGUCGGUAAUAGGUGCGCUGAACACCCCAGCCACUGGCCGCAUGCAAAGCAUCUGGAGCUCCUCAAACGGCAUGCGCAACUACAACUACGCCGGAGAAAGUAUUAUGCUUGCUCGACGUGGUGCGUGGCGCUUUGCGAGCGGUCACCCGAGGCCAAGCGAGGCCUGCGCUUACCAGUGCCCCAGCCGAAAGCGAAGGCGGCCAUGGAGCCGACCACCACCAGCCAGAGGUACUGCGAGCAUAACAAUGAAUUGCUUGUAAGCACUGCUGCUCGUUAGCCCGCCGCUCGCAGAGCGAGAUGUGCAGCAGCGCUCGCCACAAUUAUAACAGCGUAUGCGCAGAGGAUGUGCCCACCUCUGGCAUUGCGAAGUCCGCCAUUGCUGUUGACUUUGUUGAAUACGCAGCACGCGCGGGGAAGAGUGGACGCUGAAAAAGUUUGGACGCUGAAAAGUUUGGAAGGUUGGAGCUUGCUGCUGGAAGGCUAUCACAGCCAACUUGAGCACAGGCCGAUAUUAAGUUCUAUGCACCUGAUUAUUGCACCAAGAAUUCGGAGGUUAAAUGGACUUUUCAGCGCCGGCGUGGAUUCGAUCGAAUAUUAUUGACAUUCAUUUGGCAUCUUGACAUCGAUUCCCGAACGGCGCCCCGCAACCUGGCCAUUAAUCAGCAAUGAAGGCGUUUGUUUCUUAAUCCUGCUGCUGUAAAGCGGUGCAAUGCGGGCAUAAAUAAGUCAGCCGCCGCGAAUCCCCGCUGCUUUUACGCUUGCUUAAGAACGUAGCACUGGCGUCAUGUAAUGUUUCGAUGGAAAGCUUUCGGAAGCGGUCAAGCUGUGCUGAACUAUAUCUUGAGUCAGAGUCGCGAAGUCAGACUGGCAGCACGCUGGGCAUCAGGCUGGGCAUUGAGAAAUCCUAUGAAAAUGCGACUCGGUUGCCACUGCAUUUUGAUUGUCAAACUGGGAUCCGUAAAUCACACAUCAAUCAGGCGCUGCCGCCGCUGGUUCAAAAACCCGAGACAGAUCACCCGCGCUGCAGGGCGAAGCGCCAGGUCUGUCAAGAACGCACACGAAGUGUCCCUGUGGCAGUGUGGGCAGCGGGGGGGGGGGCGUGCCGGGAGGGUGACAUUCACGAUAAGGGUCUCACACAUGUGGCCGGGUGGAGGGGGAUGUGGAGGGAGGAUGUGAGGCAAUCAGCACAUCCCGUGCCAUCCGCAGGUGGGUCAGUAUGCAUCAAGCAGCAACCGCCCCGUACGCUCUAUAUAGUACACAUAAUGCAUUGCUGUGUGGCCCAGGAACAUGCAUGGCGUUGUAGUUUGCCAGGAAGGAGGUCAGCAACGGUCGCGGGGGCAUAAGUGUGCCAUUGGACAGUGUCAAGGCAGGUUGGUGAAGUCC